CACCCCACCCCCAGAAAGGUCUAGAAUCUUGCCAGGAACCAAAGAUUAUAACACAGCAUUGGAGCCAAAAAUUGCUUAUGCGAGAACUUGAUGCGAAUCAGAUGACCGCUUCUCUUUUGGUGGAACUUGGGAUGUCUUCGAGAUCCUGCCUAUGAGCCGAACAAGGGCAACAGCAACAGACACCCCAACGGGCCCAUGAAACUAAGCUCACUUCCGUUUUACGACAUUUCCGGACAGAGACUCAAGCCUUUCACUCCACCAUGGGUCCUAGAUCAGGACCUGUCUAUGCCAGGAAAGAGGAAAAUACCAUUGUGGCCCAGUCGGCCUGCAGGUCACGAGACAAAACAGACAACCAGCUGUGCCCCGGGUUCCAGGAACUACAGAAAAUCACAGACCUUGGAAUACGAAGACCACCAGCAACAGGACUGGCAAAGGACUAGGCUUCGGGUUGUGUUUUACCCCGGCCUCUGGUUAUGUGACUAGCUAAGAGGGAAACUAGGCACCAAGGCAAAGGUGAGGUGACCGGGCAAGUCUAAAGUUGUACUGAGUAGAGGCAAAGACUGCACAAGAAUGAAAGAAAAAGACCAAGUAAUGAGGGGCAUGAGCUAAUGUCCAACCCUGACUGAACAAAUUAUUUUCCCACACAUGUAUUCCGAAGACUGAAGAAACAGUAUUACAUACACUCUUUUGAGCGCUUUCUGACCAACAUUUUUCUAUUAAAGGUUAUGCUUCUCGGGAGCCAGUAUCAAAGCUUCUUGUGGCUUGUCAGUAAAUUUAAGAGGCCAAAUCUGUGUAAAUUUAAAUUACAUAAAACCUCUCCCUCAAUUGCCUGGUCUCAGAAUAGCCCCUUUCACUGGGCAUUAUCAUCAGGGAAUAUAAACGCCUUUAUCAUAGGAGCCCAGGCUUUUGAAAUCUUGGCAUAAUCGAAUUUCCUCCUCCCAAGGCAUAUCAAACAACAUUGCAGAAUGGAGUCUAAUUUGCUUUUUAACCAAAAGGUUCUUUCCUCUGCUUAUUUGAAGACUAUUUCUAUAUAACAAAUGCAGUGUUCUCUAUGACCACCCCCCUGCCAGAUGGCAGUGCCUGGAAGCCUACACGGUCACCCUAAGGGCAAAGAUUGACGGAAUUGUGAGGGAAAAAAACAGCAGGACACUCUGUGCAUCGGGGAGACAGUGGGGACCGCAUGAGCAGACACCUGAAAGCAUCAAAAGGUGGGCAUAUACUUAACUAACGAAGUCCUGAACAUGGGGGCAAGCGUCGCCCGCCCGUGAAUUGGCCUUCUCUGUCUGUCAGCUGGUGUGAAAACCUGGGAAUCUUUUGUUGACAGUGUCUGUAAGCUACCCUGAACCCCAAGCAGAUGAUUCAAGGCUGAGAAUACAUUCUGAUGCCGACACAGACAAUGGAACAGACAGACAAGGUCAGACGCAGGAAAUGUGGUACUUGGAGCACCGUUAGCCCGGACUAGCAUGAGCCUCUGGGGAUUCUCUAUGGAAGUAAGUGGAUGGACUGCAGAAAAGACACAUGGGUUCCCUUUCUGUUCUAAGCCUUUUUCUUCCCAACCUUUGAGGGGUUUUGAAUAUAUAAGGAAUUUAGCACGGGGUGUAGGGGAUUCAGUGUCUUGGCCAAAGAAUUUGCCUUGAGGCUCACAAGAUCUUCCUAGUAUAUAUGCUAAAUUUUUAUGAUUUACAUUUAGAAGCAGCUCGGUGAGGGGGCUCUUGGGCUCUGGUCUCCGGGCUCCAGGCUCCAGGCUCAGGUGGGCAUCAGUUGAUAACAAGAGAUCUGAGGAGAUCAUGAUAAUCAUUUUGUUCUACUUCAUUGUUCUUAAUGGGACUGUCUUAGAGCUAAGGCUGCAUCUGAUUCCGAUCAUGCACUGAAGAAGAGUCAGGGGCCCACUAGAUGGCAGCAGAUGGUAAGAAAUGUGAACUGAGGCCGCCUCCUGGAGAGCUAGGCUUGCAGCCCUCCAUUUUGCUUUGCAUCUUUAAUGAGAUAUGUGAGGAAAAUGAGUCCCUUACAUGCCAGUUACAGAUGCCACAGCAUAUGGAGAGAUACCGCAUAGCAAUCUUUCUCUGUUUAUUAAACAGGAGGCAGCUAACGAGUCACUCGCUGCACCCUGCUGCCAUUGUCCUUUAAGUUGCUGGAUACUGUUGUUGACAAGGUAAUAACAAGAGAAAGAGGGUUAAGCAGAAUGACAGAGAGGUGUGGACUUCGAGAUUACAAGGCGUCGUCAAGUUGAGGUACAGAGCAAAUCACUAGCGAAGGGCGAGAGACCCUGGGUAGCUUUCUGCUACCACAUGCCUCCCCUGGGGCGUCCGCUGCUCUCUCCUCUCCUUGGCAGACCUUGGGGGUUCAUUUAUCUAGAGCCUCUAUUACCACUAGACAAGCUUGGUGGUCUGACCUUUCACCACAAACCCCAAAUGGGAAAGGGAGCUCUGGGCAUUUUAAAGAGCAAACUGCACUUGCUGUUGUAGCAGACUGAAAAGACAUCGCAUGACCGGAAUGCGUUAGGAUGCAUCCACCUAUGGGGGCCUGCUUUCUAAGCUGCCCAAAACAAAAGUAGGGGUCCACUCUUGCUGGCUGCAGACAUAACACACCACGGUGUGUGGUGUGUCCCAGGUCUGAAGCUAAUUUUGCUGUUUCAUUUCUGUAUUUCUGUAAUUCUUUUUUCUUUCUUUCUUUUUUCCCCAUUUACCGAGUACAACAAUUUGCUAUUGAUUUCUUCUAACCCAGGUCUUCGGACGCCCUGGGUGGUUUCUGAGAACAGGUUACAAAUCCAGACACCCCUCUUCUGCCUGUUAAGAAACUGGACUGUCCUCCAUUAACCACAAGGCCCGCGGUUACCAGGACUUCUCAGAGUCAUUCAUUAAAAUCUUCAUAUUGAGACGUCUCCUGCAGGACCAAACUCACAGAAGCAUCCAACAUGGCUGCCGUGACUAGGAUGGAGGCCUCUCCGGAGACAGAAUAAACACAUUGAUGGGAGUCACAGCUCCGUGUUCUUGUGUCUGCAAAGAGCUAAUCAAAGGCCCGCCCCUUUCUACGAUACCUCCUCGGCACAGAGCAUGGCCAUUUGUUUGUGGACAGAACGUUGUUCUCCAAUGCCCUACCUAUAAAUAUGUAAAGGCAAGAGACAAGACCAUUACUUUAGGGCACUGCUGUGCACUGCUGUUGGACAUCAUUAUGAAGGAAAGACUAUAAGCCCCAAGCAGAUAAAAUGCACAAAAGCCAGAGAGUCUACCAACAAGACACAAGCAUUUAGUGUUAUCCUGAAUUAGCCUCGUUUAUUUAUCGUCGUUCAUUUGAAACCAUGAAGCCCUUAUGCCUUGUAAAUCAAUACGCUAAAUGCUGUGGAAAUACAAAUUAAAAAUGAGUACUUGUCAAAUACGGACUACACUCAGCAGGUACCAGCGCCUCACUUUUAUCCUUUUAAACCAUGAGAGGUGAAAAUUAAAUCCUACUGAAUUACAUCAAUUUUCCACCUGAAAAUAAAAGCACGGUCCCCGAUUCCCUGAAGGACAAAUGAAUUACACACAUUCGAAAUCAAGGCCAGCAAUUAACAUCUUAAUCAUGGGUCCUUGAUAGCCUACCCACGAUUCUAAAAGUCUGGAAAACUGUAAAUAUUUAUAUACAUAGAUGCAGUAGUUAGAUUAAAGAUGUAUGAUAAACGGAUGAGUGUGUCACUGGAUGGAUGCAUGGAUGCAUGGAUGGUAGCACAGUAAAGUGGCUGAGUUCAAGUUCAGAUUGAAAGCUAGAUUUCUAGGUCUCCUCUUAUUACCUCACUAGCCACAUGACCUUGGGCACGUUACUUUGUGCUUUCCUUUUCUCAGCAAAGCUUUCAUGGGAGAAUUAUUCCUAAAAUUAAGUGAACUGUCCAGUGCCAACAUAUUUAGCAUAAGGUUUGGUACACAGGAAACACAUUAUCAAGUACCUAUGGUUGUGACGAGUGGGGAUAAUUACUACAUUUUCCUGUAGUUGAUUGGAUUGAGCUUUUAGCAAGUCGUUUACAAAAAUUAAGCCAUUAAGCCUCUCUCUGGCCCUGGGAAUAUGGAUCAGUCAAUAAUUUACUUUUCCGGCACAUGUAAGGACCUGAGUUCAUAUCUCCCAAAAACAUAUAAGAAAGUAGAACACAGUAGUACACAGUUGUAGUCCUAGCACCAGAAGGUCAAGAGCAGGAGGAUCACUCUGAACCUUCCUGGCCAGCUGAAUUGCUGUUCCAAGUUCAGCCAAAGAUUCUGUUUCAAUAAAAUAAGGUAGAAAGCAAGAGAGGAAGACAUCCAACAUCAACCUCUGCUCUCCAUGGGUACCCACAUGCACACAUACACUUGCAUACACACACAUGCAUGUACUACAAACACAUACAAACAGAGAGAAUCAAGUCGGUCUCUUGGAAACUUAAGCAUUCUUCUGUAUUGGCAUCCCAACUAGUAAGAACUAAAGAUCAAUGGGAGUUUAGAGAAACACAAUUGAAAAGACCUUCAAAUUCCUUUUCAGAGGAUGUUGCAAAGGAUGCUGAUAAAUUAUUAAUAAGGACCUACUACAUAGGAAAAAGCAAAUAGGAAGGUAAUUUUUGUUUGACCCUCAUAAAACGAGCAAGCAUGGACUUUGUGAGAUAUUAAAAUACAAUGCCUCCACUCAUUAAGUGGGUAGGAUAAUGGAAUAACU
RNAcentral lists this small RNA (4653 nucleotides) under Rattus norvegicus (Norway rat). RNAcentral's name for it is "uncharacterized LOC108353025". Lineage: Eukaryota; Metazoa; Chordata; Mammalia; Rodentia; Muridae. The record is from RNAcentral.